Etheostoma spectabile (orangethroat darter) is the source of this 68-nucleotide long non-coding RNA. RefSeq lists it as uncharacterized. Lineage: Eukaryota; Metazoa; Chordata; Actinopteri; Perciformes; Percidae. The record is from RefSeq and is a predicted model, not a curated record. The transcript is spliced from 3 exons.
CUGGGGCGCCCAGAUAGCACAGUGGUGGAGCGGGCGCCAUACAUAGAGGUUUACUUAUAUUUGCGGAC